CUGAGUUCUCCAUCUCGUACAAGCCCGUAAAGCACGGUAGGCCCGGUAUUGGAGCUACCCACUCUUCGCGAUUUAUCCCACUCAAAUAGACAAUCGGUACUUCGAGCGGCAGAUUACUGAUGUGCGAUUUCUAUAAUUCAAGAGCAUCUUACUUUUAAUGCACAGAUGUUUCCUCAUGUAUGAAUUCCUGGAUCGCAACCUUCGAGAUUUGAUUCAAGAUAAAAAAAUAAGUCUUACACACAGAAUGACUAUACAGAAUCAUCGCAAGUUUUGCUGCAAUCAAUUUAUCACCCUUAUUAUGGAAUUCCAUUUAUCUUAAUAUUUCUUGCUAAUACUAUGUACAAGAAUAAAACCGAAGAUACUUAAAACUAAACAAUUGGUUUAAAUCAAUGUUAUUUAGGUGGAAGAUAGACACUACUCGAAUUGUAUUGGUUUUAACAAUU
RNAcentral lists this long non-coding RNA (443 nucleotides) under Physcomitrium patens. RNAcentral's name for it is "long non-coding RNA (PPAT_LNC002213)". Lineage: Eukaryota; Viridiplantae; Streptophyta; Bryopsida; Funariales; Funariaceae. The record is from RNAcentral.